UAUAAUACUCAAGCUAUCGGUUUUAGUGGGGAACAGUCACUAAAGGUAACAGGGAAAGCUUGGUGUAAGUCCAACACUGUCCCGCAACUGUGAUGAAGCUUAAAUGAUUAGUUUCUAAGUCAGAAUGCCUGCCGAUAACGAGACUAUUCU
This 150-nucleotide non-coding RNA is filed under the name Crocosphaera subtropica ATCC 51142. The record is from RNAcentral. Lineage: Bacteria; Bacillati; Cyanobacteriota; Cyanophyceae; Chroococcales; Aphanothecaceae. RNAcentral also lists the same sequence under 1 other name.